UCCGGAUCCGUCGACAGAGUUUGAUCUGGCUCAGAUUGAACGCUGGCGGCAUGCCUUACACAUGCAAGUCGAACGGCAGCGCGGGCUUCGGCCUGGCGGCGAGUGGCGAACGGGUGAGUAAUACAUCGGAACGUGCCCUGUCGUGGGGGAUAACUAGUCGAAAGAUUAGCUAAUACCGCAUACGACCUGAGGGUGAAAGCGGGGGACCGCAAGGCCUCGCGCGAUAGGAGCGGCCGAUGUCUGAUUAGCUAGUUGGUGGGGUAAGAGCCUACCAAGGCGACGAUCAGUAGCUGGUCUGAGAGGACGAUCAGCCACACUGGGACUGAGACACGGCCCAGACUCCUACGGGAGGCAGCAGUGGGGAAUUUUGGACAAUGGGGGCAACCCUGAUCCAGCAAUGCCGCGUGUGUGAAGAAGGCCUUCGGGUUGUAAAGCACUUUUGUCCGGAAAGAAAUGGCGCUGGUUAAUACCUGGCGUAGAUGACGUACCGAA
RNAcentral lists this ribosomal RNA (492 nucleotides) under Comamonas zonglianii. Its description in RNAcentral is "bacterial SSU rRNA". It matches the Rfam family "Bacterial small subunit ribosomal RNA", at positions 1 to 482 of the family's 1533-position model. The record is from RNAcentral. Lineage: Bacteria; Pseudomonadati; Pseudomonadota; Betaproteobacteria; Burkholderiales; Comamonadaceae.